This 256-nucleotide ribosomal RNA is filed under the name uncultured bacterium. RNAcentral's name for it is "partial 16S ribosomal RNA". It matches the Rfam family "Bacterial small subunit ribosomal RNA", at positions 524 to 776 of the family's 1533-position model. The record is from RNAcentral.
UACGAAGGGGGGCUAGCGUUGCUCGGAAUGACUGGGCGUAAAGGGCGCGUAGGCGGCUCAUACAGUCAGGCGUGAAAUUCCUGGGCUCAACCUGGGGACUGCGCUUGAGACGUGUGGGCUUGAGUGGGGAAGAGGGUCGUGGAAUUCCCAGUGUAGAGGUGAAAUUCGUAGAUAUUGGGAAGAACACCGGUGGCGAAGGCGGCGACCUGGUCCUUGACUGACGCUGGAGGCGCGAAAGCGUGGGGGAGCAAACAGG